This 692-nucleotide long non-coding RNA is filed under the name Cyanistes caeruleus (blue tit). RNAcentral describes it as "lncRNA (ENSCCEG00000017587.1)". The record is from RNAcentral. Lineage: Eukaryota; Metazoa; Chordata; Aves; Passeriformes; Paridae.
AGCACCCAUGUCAAAGGUAAUUUGAACAGCAUCAAAGAAGUAAUGGAGAGCAGCAGAAACACCAUCUGUAAUUCAUCCUGAAUAAGAAAACCCUGCAUUUUUGUAGUAGUUUGAUUCCCAUUAAUAGGCUAUAUUCAUUAUUUAAUUACAUGCAUUAAAACAGGUAAGUCUGGGUUAGAGCAAAAAUUCUUUCCAACUGCUCAUUCAUAUUCAGGCAAAGAUAACAGUAUGCAGCAACACUUCUCACUUCACACAGGAAAAUGAAAUAAUGACCUCUUUUUUUCUCACCUCUUAACCUCUAUAGAUGGGAAGACUGUAGGGGUCAAAAUAAAGAGCUGAAAUUGGGUUUGGAGUGGUGAAGAGUGACAGCUGCCCACCCCCCCACCUGCUAGGAGAUGGAAAUGUGCAAGACAGAAACAAAGACCUGUACUCUGAGCAACACUGGGAGGUGAUCCCCAGGGGAGUUAGACUGACAAAGUUAUGACCUAAUUAAAGAACAUCUCCUACACGUUGUCAUUGUUCCUGCAAGUCUAAGACAAAAUACUUCUUUCCAUAAUGUCCGUAUGAAGACUGGAGACAAGUUAAAAUUGUUCAGCUACCUGUUCAUGGAAUUUGAGUCAAAAUGCAUUGAAAUGGAUGCUUCAUUUCCCUUUCAGCAGCUGCUUCUGGAACAAAACCUGCCUUUGACUUAA